CAAUGCAUAUAUAUACCUACACUGUCUACGAAUUAACCUAGCUUCUGCUAAUUGCAUUGCCGCAUGCAUAUACUCCUGCAACAGUUGCUGGGGGCACCUACCAAGCUACCUAGCAGUGAAUGGAUGGAUUAAUUAACCGCUCUAUACGGAUCUUGUAUAACAUUGAUGUAUACAUUCAGAUACGCAUGCAGAGAAAUUAAUGGUCGUACACACAUGAAUUAUUAUACAAUUUACGUACUCCUAUGCAUGUAUAAUGAUCAUUAAUUUUCCCAUCAGAUGAGAAUGAGAUAUAUAUGAUCCCAAUUAAGCUAGCUAGCUACUAGCUGAUUGGUUUUGU
Molecule: long non-coding RNA, 337 nt
Filed under: Oryza brachyantha (malo sina)
Lineage: Eukaryota; Viridiplantae; Streptophyta; Magnoliopsida; Poales; Poaceae
Description: long non-coding RNA (OBRA_LNC000657)
Source: RNAcentral